This 253-nucleotide ribosomal RNA is filed under the name uncultured bacterium. RNAcentral's name for it is "partial 16S ribosomal RNA". It matches the Rfam family "Bacterial small subunit ribosomal RNA", at positions 524 to 776 of the family's 1533-position model. The record is from RNAcentral.
UACGAGGGGGGCAAGCGUUGUUCGGAAUUACUGGGUGUAAAGGGUUCGUAGGCGGUGUGGCAAGUCGGGAGUGAAAUCCCUGGGCUUAACCCAGGGGCUGCUUCCGAAACUGCUGUGCUUGAGUGUGGGAGAGGCGCGUGGAAUUGCAGGUGUAGCGGUGAAAUGCGUAGAUAUCUGCAGGAACACCCGUGGCGAAAGCGGCGCGCUGGACCACUACUGACGCUGAGGAACGAAAGCUAGGGGAGCAAACAGG